UUUGUAUUAUCUAUGUUUGCUAAAAGUUCCGUAUAUGUUUCGCUUGUUUCCGAAUGUUGUUCUAGAUCAUCAUCAUUUAUUUCAUCAAUUCUUAUUUCAGGUAGAUUAUCUUGGUUAUUUUCUUCUUUUUCUUCUAAUUCAUCUUCUAAUUGCAAUUUUUCUUUAAAUUUAAUUAUAUCAUUUGCUAAUUUUGUUUUUUGUUC
This 203-nucleotide long non-coding RNA is filed under the name Solanum tuberosum (potato). RNAcentral's name for it is "long non-coding RNA (STUB_LNC011584)". Lineage: Eukaryota; Viridiplantae; Streptophyta; Magnoliopsida; Solanales; Solanaceae. The record is from RNAcentral.